CGCCGCACGGGACGCUAGUUAACGCUACACUCAACAGCAGGUUAGGUUGGACGAGGAAGGCGGGGUGAGCUGCGAUAGCUGGGAUACGUUCUGGGGACCCCCCACCCUGGAUUCUGAUAUGGCAGGAAUUCCUCAGGAGGGAUAACAAGGAUCUGCACACACAGGAAUACAAAAAAUAAACAUGUUACACUCUU
Molecule: long non-coding RNA, 194 nt
Organism: Perca flavescens (yellow perch)
Lineage: Eukaryota; Metazoa; Chordata; Actinopteri; Perciformes; Percidae
Exons: 2
Source: RefSeq, a predicted model, not a curated record